Long non-coding RNA from Scomber scombrus (Atlantic mackerel), 123 nucleotides. RefSeq lists it as uncharacterized. The transcript is spliced from 3 exons. The record is from RefSeq and is a predicted model, not a curated record. Lineage: Eukaryota; Metazoa; Chordata; Actinopteri; Scombriformes; Scombridae.
GAGGGCCUUGGUGGAAGGGAACCCGCUCUGUAUGUAGAUACAAAGGGCUCAUUUUAAGGCGCAACCUGUAUCUGCAGAGGAGGCGCACAAAAACAGCUGAUGUCGGGGCGGAGCAGAGACCUA